Bombus pyrosoma is the source of this 4246-nucleotide long non-coding RNA. RefSeq lists it as uncharacterized. The record is from RefSeq and is a predicted model, not a curated record. The transcript has 2 exons. Lineage: Eukaryota; Metazoa; Arthropoda; Insecta; Hymenoptera; Apidae.
GUCCACGAUUUCAUGGCGCGCGUGUAUGAAUAAUGUUUAUUUUUGUAUUAGAAACUUCGUCAUUAAAGCCUGAUAUUAUCAGAAGAUUCUUCGAUCAUGGGCUGAUAAAAUACAGUGCAAAAGUGAGGUUAUUUGACACGGUAGAAUCUUCAUUAUGGGAAUAUCGAUUAACCCUUUGCACUGGGAAUUUUAUUCGAAUUUCGUUAGCAGCAGCAGCCAACGCUUUUAAGUGUUUUAUUUGAAAUUUACUUUAACUAGAAAAUAAGAGAAGAAAGAAAUUCACUUAAAUACCAGUUUUCUUCACACUAUUGUUGUAUUUUCUAAUCUUUAAGUGUAUGAUAUAUCUUGAAACAAUUUUCAGCAUGCAAUCCUGCUUUCCUCUCGCACGCUUCUUAAAAAAAGGUGGACAUGAAAGAAUGUCGAGUGGGACUCGACAAAGGAGCUGCUGAGAUAAAAACUGAUAUCGAGCCACACUCGACAUAGAAGUGCAAAGGGUUAAAUAUGAAAAUGGCCCUUUAUUAGGAAGAUCGUAAAGCAUGGACAGAAAAUUAUAAGAGCUGGAAAUGUGUAAAAUGAAAUCAAUAUUAACACUUUACCGACCGCUAGCGGUUCAACGGCAUACGCACGUCCGACCGGCAGCUCAGGCGCAGAUUCUCCCUGGCGCUGGCUUCGUUUCGGUUUAUACUUUCCAAUACCAUUCUUUUCGUUCAUCGCGAACGGUAAGUUUUUCAAAUUGGUAUAAAACUUUGGGGCCUUAGAAAGCAACGCGACUGACGCAACUGAGUAAGGUACCAUAGUACUAAAUAACAAAUUACUGCUCAAAUAAUGAGAAAGAUUGUUGGCGGCAAAAAGCCGAUUAAUAGGCUAUCGGUCGAUAAAUGCCGGUGACAAAAUGCUGAUUAAUCGGCUAUCGGUCGGUAAGCGUCGGCGACAAAAAGCCAAUUAGUGGGCUAUCGGUCGGUAUCAGAGACAAAAAGCCGAUUAAUCGGCUAUCAGUCGAUAAAAUGUUAAUAUAUAUUUAUAAAAUAAUUCUAGAUAAAUGAUGUUCUUUCCUACGUAUCUCUGUACUUGUCGUUUAGCAAACAAAUCUUCUAAAAGUUUCUAUGCCAAACUAUCGCUCGUGCAACCUUAUACCUUGUCUAAAAACAGGCUAUUAACCGAUGAACUAUUUUAUUCGUUUUCACAGGAAUUGAUCGGCAACGAAACUUUCAAACCGGCGGUCUAUUCGAAGACCAAAAGAAAAGAGAUCUGUUAAAGAACGUGUCGGUUUAUGACUAUCGCAAUGGCCACAAAGAAAGAAGUCGAUUCGUACGAUUGAUGGCUUUCCAUAGGAUUUCCGUAGGAAUUCCUCCGUACGUGUCAUCGGCAUGUAACCAGGGAUUAACGUUGACGGUGGCGAAAGAAAAACGCGGUGAUCCCUUUUUCCACCUUUUCCCAUUUCGGUUCCGUUGCAAUUGUUCCAGCCAUGCUGAUGUCAAUGCGAUUCUCAAACCUAGAGGGUGUGCGUGAGCGAGAAAAAAGUCGGCUGCCAUGUAAUGUUCACGGGGAUCCGAUGACUUCUUUCAUUCGAAAGUAUACGCGUGGCCGGGCAUUCGUUCAGAACAUUUCGAGAUUCUAGGAAUUGGUGCUGGUUGUCUCAGGGAAUCUCAUUGCAAAGAAUUUUUGAAAUUGCUUUGAAAUAAGUUACACAUCUAUUGUCAGUGGCGCCACAGGCGUAAAUCAAGGUAAUGCAGAUGUAAUCGUGUCGAGUCGGUAAACAAAUUGGAACUUUUAACACAUUGUUGACCGGCAAUUUUACUGAGAAUUUAUCUCAUGUCACAGGUUAUUAUUUCGUAAUUGGAUGUGCAAGUAAAAUAAUAUAAAUAAACUUUGAUAAAUUUGAUUUAUUAUUCAACUUUGAAUAUUUCUUUUUCCUAUGAUAAACAGUAUAACAAUCACCUACAUGUAAUGGUACACAACAGCUUUCGCAAAUAUAUCUAGUUUCGUUGCGUUUUCCUUUUGAACAGCGUACUUUACACGCUCUAGUCGGAUUUGUUUUUCUGCCGGUGACUAUUUUUUCUAACACGUGGUCUCUUAGUUGUCCGGAAAGCCUGAAGGGUGCAUCAUUAUAAUAAGGAGCUGUUUUAGAAAUUCGAGAAGUGUCAGGUGCAAUGCUGCGUUCUUUAGAAUGCACAGUUAUCCAUUCUCUAGUUACUUGCAGUAGAAAUUUAUUGUACCUUGUUUUAUUUUCUAGCAGAUAGAUACAGUACAUUUUAUAUGCAUUGAGCAAGGUGCAGUUUAUCAGAAAAAAUGGUGAUGAUCUGCACGAUCUACCCCUUUCAUAUACUUAUUGUAUUGUAAUAUGUACGUAGGUUUAAUGAUAUUUUGGUGGCCUAAUAUCGGAUUCGCUAUCUUCUAAUACAGUAUCAUUUUCCAAGUCACCACAAUUUGAUUCACAAUCACUCGGACAAUCAGAUACAACAUCCGUGUAUAAUUCAUUGGAAGAUUCUUCAUCGGUACGUUCCGUCAUCGUUGACAUUUUUUUUACAACAAAGGACGCAACUUGACUGGUCUUACAAGCGAGGGACACAGCUUGAGAUAUGUUGACCAAUAAUUGCACUGUAUCAUCUCCAACAGCGCACUAAGAAAAUGGCGCUGAACGGGAAAAAAGCGCAUCACGAGUUUACUCGUGGCCGGUAACAAUGUGUUAAGAUUUGCAUCGCAGAAUUAGGAAACAACGUUGAAUUUUUUUUUUGUUUCUUUUGCAGCAGAUUCUCUUUGGAUAAUCGAUAGAUUUAAUGGCGAGGAACCAUGAUGUUCGACCGUAUUUUCGAUGAUCAUUCCAACUGGCUGCUAUUUACCAAGGGUGUGUCUGAUUACGUAAUAUUCCAAAGCGUCUUCGCGGCUGAAAUUCCACGCGUGAUACGGCCGUGUCGCAAUCAUUCCACCGUGAGAUAGUUCUGCUUCCUCUUGGAAAGCGAUCGUUCCACGAGACCCUCUGGUAAAUGGGACGUCGGUUUCCAACUCGGCUAUACAAGGCGGAUUGUUUGCAAACCGAUCGAUAAGUCGAAGAAAUCUUGAUCGAGCGUUGGCAAAGUGAAUUUCUAUGUCGUUUAUAGAAAGCUUCGAAAAGAUAUACAACUGGGAACAGGCUAAUCGGAGAAAAGUAGACGCAAAUGGACACUGCGUUACACGGUCGUAAAUCAUCCCGCGUAGUUACCUUAAACGUAAGCAAUCUCGGAACGCAGAAAUACCUGAAACUAGGUAACGCUGAUUACAGGAAUGGACAACGAUCGAUGGUUAUCAGCGAAAACGACGCUAAACGGUGCUGCAAACGAAACGCUACGUGUUUCCUUUAAAUUCUAUGAAGUAACGUUUUCCCAGGCGAACUACGAUCGCGUUAAACAAAGUAUAAAUUAAGGCUCGAUGGGAUAGACGGCGUUCGAAUCUGCAACGUAACCUGCCAUUGUCAUAGUUUACGGUAGAUUUGUAAAAUGAACGGUAACCACGGCGCUACAGUCGAUAGAUACGAUACGUAAUAAUCGGUUAACGGCUGUUCUUCUAUCGGAUACGAAAAACACGCGAAUCGAAUGAAACGGUGAUUCGAAUAUCUGCCAUUAAACUAAGUCUCGUUCGCAGAAUGCUGCGGCUGUAUUCUCAUGCGCGUGUGGUCUUUCAUCACGAUUACAUUUCGAGGUGAAGAUCGUGUGUGGUUCCUUCGGAAAGGUCUUGUAGAAUGUUGUACAGAAGGUUAAUAGCGGAUUCGAUUGUGAAAGGUCUGUUAGUACGGUAUUGGCUUGGCAACUAAGUGAUUGCGGAUUUUAUCGUUAGGUGGUAUUGAUAAAAUCCGCAAUCAUUUAGUUGUCAAGUCGAACAAAAGCGUGCGGUAAUUUGUAUCGUUAAUUGCAAUUGUAGGAAAAAGAUCUUGCAAUUGUCCUUUUAUACUAUAUCGUGUACUUUGAAACACUAUAGCAAUAUCAAUACAGUAUAGUACUAGUUCAAUUAGUAAAUUAACGCGGAAUCAUGAAUGGACUGUUGACCUUUAUGCAAUUUCAUAUUUUAACAAAUGUAACUUAAAUUACAUUUCACUUUGAAUAUUUUAUAUGUUUCUUUGCAUAUUACGCGCAAUUCGAUAUUUUUAAAACCUCGAAUUUCUUCGAUCAUGAAACACUUGAUAUUCACAUUAACAGUUAUUAAUAUCACGAAUUUAUAUAGAAAAUUGAUUGUAUUCAUAUGAGAUUAAUUUAAAAUGUAGCUUCAGUUGCAA